Molecule: long non-coding RNA, 5708 nt
Organism: Parus major (Great Tit)
Lineage: Eukaryota; Metazoa; Chordata; Aves; Passeriformes; Paridae
Exons: 6
Source: RefSeq, a predicted model, not a curated record
UGUAGGAGUGCAUCGCCACCUUCCCCACACGUUUAUUUUGCUUUCACUCCUCCGGGCACUUUCUAGUUCUGAGUUGUCAGCUGGGAGGAUUGGGUUUACCUCGCUCGUGUUGCUGUGGGUAAGGGCGGGAGAGGGGGCGUAUUACAUAAUUAAUCCUUCCAACUUCACUUUCCGCAGCUCCAUCUCCAGCCCACUGUUCUCACGUUUCUGUUUUGUUUUUAUACGGAGGAGGUGAGAAAAUAAUGCUGGUGUGUGGGUGUGUGUUGCUCGAAGGAUUUCAAGGACCAGAACAGGAUUGCUGCUCUCUGAACAGUUUCAAAUUAUUUCCUCUGGGGGUGCCAAUGGAGACCUGAAGAAGAGAGCCAACCAGAAAGAGCUCAUCACAUGCUAAGGAUAACACAGGCCCUGAGGCCAGUACCUGGUGCUUCAGAAGGAGAUGCAAGAAGCUUCAGAUGAAACAGCUAAAGAAUUACUUUCUCAAAGAGAAGGUUACUAGAUUCCCUGCAACUUUUCUCUCAUCCUGGAUUAAAGAUGGCUUUCAUCCAGAAACACAUGGGCUUUUAACUCUUUUCUAGUUCUGUUUCUAAAACCCUUCACAUGUGUUAAUCAAAGCCAUCAAGGAAUGAUGUUUAUCAUGCUUAUCAAGGAAACAGAUUUAGAAAUCCUGUAACUCUAUGUUUUGAUUUGGUAGUUUGGGGCUUUUUGGUUGGUUGGGGCUUUUGGUUUUUUGGUGUUUUUUUUUGUUCUUCAUAGUUAAAGUCUGUUUCUGCUGGUCACUGUUGGCUGCAAAUCUUGUGCCUUGACAGAGCCAAUUUUUGUUUCUUGACACAAGAUGCCUCUGACACUUCUCUGAAAGAGCUGCAGCUGUGCAGUUACAUACCUGUGAGUGGGUAUGUGAACAUGUGUAUCAAUCUGUCCUCCCUGCUUUGUAUCAUCUGCAAAAUUGCUGAGGGUGCACUCUGUCCAACUGCCCAACUCAUUUUUGAAAAUGCUAACUUGUGCUGUACAAGAGAUGGGUGACAUCAAUCAUCAUUUUCCACCACUGCAGUGAAGAAUGAUAGGUAACAAUAGCAAAGGUUUUCCAUAACAAAGAGCAUUUUAGCAAAUCUAUCAUCUAUUUUACCGGCAAACACGUUUUCUGCAGUGACAGAAUUCUCUUGGGAACAGUCUUAUAAAUAAGAGCAUGUUCUUCUCAGAAAACAAACAAACAAACAAAAAAAACCCAAACAAAAAAACCUAAAAGACCACCAAGAAACAAAGUGGUGGGUGCAGGACAAAGAAACUAUGUUAAGAACUGACUUUGCAGAAACUAGGAGUCAGCAACAACUCUUCCAGGCACUGAUGCCCUAUGCCUACUAAUGUAUCUACACCAAAAAGUUAUAAAAAACAACUAAUUGCUUACUCAAAAUGAACCUUUCUGCAAGAGCUUCAUUGCAUGAGAUCUCCCAGACAAGACAGGACCCUUGCUGGGGAAGCCUGGCUGACUCCAGACUCUGUGAUAUCAGUAAUCUUUAAAGUGAGACUUCUGUUCUUGAUUAGCCUCACUCAUGAGCGAAUUUUCUUGAGUGUCAUACUAGUAACACUUCCUAUAAUACAUAGUAAGUAGAAAGCAAUUGUCUGAGUUUUAAGUCACAUUCCUUAGAAUGUUAAUAAAACAUUUGAGCAGGGGGAAGAAUAUAAUGAAAAGGCCUUACAAAGCCAGAACAGUUUUUGGAAUUAAUUAAAAGCUCAGGAAAUUUGUCCUGCUGGAAGUCUUCCUAACCUCUCUGCAGAUUUACACAUUAUAAUAAAUUACCAGCUGCAUCUGAAGAGUCCCCUCUAUCUCUACAAGUGUAAAAUGACAUGUUAUACCUUUGCUGAACUUGAGACCCCAACGUUAAGUGCAAGGUUCACAAAACCCUUGAAGUUUCACCCUCAAAUUGUAUUGAACCCAGAACAUUUCAAUACCACAUUCAUUUACUGGUCUAAAGCAAGACAGCUGGCUAAUGAGGAGAGGUCAGUCACAGGCAUAAGAAGAGGCUGUGUGAGUAGCAUGAGAACUAAAGUGCUGAACUAGUGACCCAGAGAUAUGGUGGGGAACCAAAAGGGGCUGGGACUACAUGGUCUUUAAGGUCCAUUCCAAUCCCUUAACAUUCUAUGAUUGCCUGAUUCUAAAAUUCUAUGAUUCUGUGAUUCUGUGUUGUGUUUCACUGGAAUUGAUCUGAUCCUUGAUUUCAGUAAAGAACCAUCUUUCCAGGCCAUCAUUUUCUGAAAGCUCUAGUUUUCACUUGCCCUAAGUGAGCUGGUGGCUUACUAAGUGAGCUGGUGGCUUACUUACAUUAUUCUUCAGAGACAGAGGCUCCCCUGAAGCACCUGCAGGGAAAAAGCACAUGUGCUCCUCCCAUUCAGAUGCUGGUGUAUCCAAGAGGAUGGAAUUUUAAAAUCAAUGUAACAUAUUUCAAUGAAAAUCUCCUGGAUGUGGUACUUGAUGCACAUUUCAUGGAAUGAUUUCAUUUUGUGUGCGAGCAACAGUAACAACAGACUAGUAAAUGAUUUGACUCUUAUUGUACUGGCUAAUGAAGAUGAUUACACAGCUGUCAAAGAACUGGGACUUGGACCUGCCCAUUUUCUCAUGCAUUUCAAACACCAAUGUUACUGGUCAAAAAGCACACACUAUAGAAAUAUUCUAGUAUGCUAAGAUGCUGUAAUUAUUACUUGUAGAUAAAAACCUCAUGUGUUCCAGGACACUGGCACUCCACAACAAUUUAAAUUUGUGGGAAAAAUGCAAAAUGAUUCUUACUCUGCUUCCUAGACUAGGAAAAAUAGUUAAAUUUCUUUUGCAACAUGUUAGUGAUAAAAUUAUCUGUUCCUCUGAUAAUUAAGGGCAAUUAAGGAUCAUAGACUCUGUAUCAUUGAUAGAUCAAUAGUACAUGUACUAUGUCAUUAGCAAAAAACCCUUUUUAUACAUUUUCUGCCUGACCUGUGUUAAUGACUUUGAUGACUAAACCCUUCUGCUCCUUAUGGAGAGCUGACUAUUGUAAAGGGCUGAAUAAAGUCCAGUUUUGUUCACAACUUUCCCUCCAUGCAAAAGUAGUGUUAAAAACCAGAGAAUUUCCAGCAGAUGGCAAACAAGUUGAUUAGUGUCCAAGAUCAUUAGGUGGCACGUGACAUGCAACAAAAAACAAGAGACCUGCUAUUCUUUGGCUUAAAGAGAAGAAAGCUCAGGACAGGUGGGGCUAGGGGAGGUGUGAUUCCAACCUUUCACUACCAAAAAAGACAGAUGUAGGGAAAUAGAGACAGUGCAUGCCAUAAUGACAAGAUGGAAUGGUUACAGGUUGCAGGAAUAAAAGGAAAAGAACUUGCCCUUGAGGGUCCCACUGUGCCAGAACAGAAAGUGCUCAGAAAGACUGUGGAAUCUCCCUCCUUGAAGGCUUCCAAUUCUCAGAUGGUGCUUACUCCAAGCCAAGGACCUUUCCACUUCCCAUGCUCUACCAGCAAGGAGGUGAACAAGAAGCCAUGGGGAAGCACACCUGGGACAAUUGACAUUAACUGGCCAACAGGAUAUCCCACACCACAAAACAUCAUCUUCAGAAUAUAAAAUGGGAGGAGCUGGACGGACAGAACUAAUCACUGCCCAAGGACAGGCUGAGCAUCGCUCAGCAGCUGCAUAAGGGGGAAAGUUCCUCCCUCCCUCCCUCCCUCCCUCUCCACCUGAAAAAGAGAUGCUGGCAGUAGAAGAAUACGAAGGAGUUACAGUAGAAGGUGGCAAAAGAAGGGAAAGACGAAAGCAGUAGAAGACAAGGAGAAGGGGAGGAAGAACAGGGUGGAAUAAGGUGGCAGAACAUGUCAGAAGGUGGUAUUGGAAGAACAGGAAGAGGAGGAAUAGGGCUGUGGAUGAUGUGCAGUAGAAGAUGACAGAGGAAGGGAGAGAAGGAGACAGCAAAAGAAGUCACUGGAAGACGAAAAAGAGGAGGUGACUGAUGAAGGUGGCAAAAGAAUACGGCAGGAGAAGGUGGCAAUGGAAAAGUUUUUCAGUGAUGAAGAAAAGCAGCAUAACUAGGGAAGGAAAAGACAGAGAAGACAGUGGAAAAAGAAUUUUAAAAAGAGGAGUCAAUGGAAGAGGUAGUGGACGAAGAUAUCAGAAGGGGAAAAGGAUGAUUAGGUGACUUAAGGAGACCACAGCAGUUUGUGGCAGCAAAUGGUAGUGGAAGAAGACAAGAAGCUCUCCUUGGGGAGCGUUUUUAACCAUCCCAAAGCCUCUCCUUUCCCUCUGACUCUGCUCUUCCCUCUCCUACUUUCCCAGUUCCUUCUCUACCACAACUGGAGACUGUAUCUUGGUUGCCACAGCCUUGCUUGGCCACAGUCCACUCUAGAUGCCUGGUUUCUGUGCUUCAGAAAAGGAAGCAAGAAGAGGGCAGGAAGAAAUUAUACCAAGGCAACUGGAGACAUUCCAGGACACAGGGAAAUUUUGCUCAAAGCCUGGAGAAGAAAAUCUGCAUCACCAUCAGUUGCUCUCUAGAUCAGAUUUAAAUAAUGAUGCAAGCAAUAUAGAAACAAGCGUUAGAGGAAUGAAGACAUAAGCAUCUCUAUCUAGGACACCAAGAAUCUAUGUCUUUGUCAAGGGCAGAAAUAAAAGAAAAGCAUUCUGGCCAUAGGUGAAAGAGAAAUACAGGCAGAGAGAACAAGGCAAGAGGCGAUGACGGCAGUUUUGUUCAGGUGUGGAGAGCUGGAAGAUAAGAAGCUUAGGAGAAUAUCCCAGCUUGUCCCAGAAAGGAGACAGGUGGGAAGAGAGCAUCAAUGCAACCACCACCACCAAGUUCUGUGAGGUAUAAAAGGACUACCCUCAGAAACUCCUCCUGAUUUAUGCUCCUAGGAAGCUUUAUCUCUAUCAGCCUAUGGUUUUACCAGGUUCCUUUUUCCCAGGAUCUUGCAUCAGCCUGGAUAAAUGUAUAUCCUUUAUCUGAGCCCAGUGUUGAUACAGCUGACCAAAAUACUUGAACUAGGAACAUAGAGUUCCAAAAAAAUAAGCUGCCAUUGCUUGUCCAUUGAUAAUACCUAACACAGCUGUGCCCUUCACCAGUCCUCCUCCUCCUUCCUUUGCCCCUGGAGCUACCAGCUUUCUACUGCAGCAUCACUGCAUGAAAUGAGAAAUUUGUUUACAGCAAUGGAUGUACACCCUUGAGUGUAUUCAUUGAAAGACCCUGCAAAAAAGAUUACAAUGGGUCUACGGAAUGUUCAACAGCACAAUUGAUUACAGACCUUGUCUAUGCCAAUGGCAUGUUUUGGACAAUAAAAUUAGAAAUUUCAAACUAAACACUUUAGUAAAUGGGAAAUUUUUAAGGAGCUAUAAGCCAGAUCUUUGGCUGUGAAUUUUAGCAGUAGCCUGGGAAGAGGUCAGGAGUCUCCUCUUGCUGAUUUAAGCAAGUAGCAUAGGAAAACUCACAGAUCAUGUUCCUCUUGGGGAUUAUCAGCCAGCCCUAUAGGAUGAAUUUCCUGCUUUUAAAAAUAACUUAGAAGUCAAAGAUUAGGGUAGAUUAAAUAAGUACAAAGAAAAACAAUAAAAAGUACCAAGAUAAAGGCAGAUACGGUCAGGCUGCCUGAUUCAAAUGCUCACUUCCUAAUACACAUAAAAUUUGUGUGGAUAUUAAACCAAAUGUAAAGCUCCAUGACAGGAAGGAAAGGGAAGCAGUCUUAGCCCAAGGGUUACCUUAUAUGAGAACUAUAGGUCA